This is a long non-coding RNA of Spodoptera frugiperda (fall armyworm), 694 nucleotides long. RefSeq lists it as uncharacterized. The transcript has 2 exons. Lineage: Eukaryota; Metazoa; Arthropoda; Insecta; Lepidoptera; Noctuidae. The record is from RefSeq and is a predicted model, not a curated record.
CACGCUUUUGAUUUUAUGGCAUUUUCAUGUGGGUACACCACUGCCUACCCCCAAAUUCUACCAUCCAUGUAGUUAGUGUGCGCCAAUCCUUUCAAUUCUAUACGUAAUAUAAAUCAUCUCGGCCGCUGGGAACCAAUGUGACCUAUAUACGCACACAGGUGGGAGUUAGGUAUAGACUGCACUUGCGCACGCAAGGUCUGCCAUCAAUCAAUAUAGCGCAUAUCAGUCCCCGGGCGAAGCUACUCGAAUCUCGCUCACCGCCGCACCCGGCACUAAGAGCCGAGGAGCGGACCCUGUCGGACGGGAGCCCACUUCUGCAGUUCAAAGUAAUCAAGUAUACCUACGUACUCAUUCGUACUCAUCAUGUCGGUCCUGAUUGCCGGAAUGCGUCGUAAGGUCGGGACUAUAACACCCACCAAGGACCUCGAGAUGUCGCAGCGGCCGGUCGACACCACCCUGUGGUGCGUCUGCGAGGUGUGCGGCCUCCGCAUCCACCCGCUGCUGCGCACCACCAACACCACCCCCACCGAUGUCAAGAAGCCAUCGAACUAAAUGCUACGCGUUUAGACAAAUGUUCGUUAUAAUUUUCGCUUCACUCUUCAACCCUUAGAUCGUCCCAAGAAAUGAAUGAAUUAUUAUAUCAACCUUCCUUAGAUGUCCUACUCUUUCAAUUAAACCCUCUUUAGUUCAAAAA